AAUGGUGGAAGCGUUUUGGUUUGGGCAAAACCGAAAAGAAUCGAGAAUCAACUUUUCACUUCUUUCUCUUUCUCUCUCGCGGUGAUCGAAUAUGCAAUAGAGCUCUCAUCAACGGCGCAUCUCCUUCCCGCCGACGGAUCUCCCCCCGAUUCGAUAACAGAACCACAGAUCUCCUCCCGAGCGUCUCCUCUAGACGGUUUGCUUGUGGAGCAUCUCUUCUGGACGCAUCUCCUCCCGAGCGUCUCCUCUAGACGGAUCUCCUCUCGAUCGUCUCCUCCCGACCUUUAUCGCUGCGAAUCGAAGGUGAGGUGAGGUUCGAUCACGAGGAUUGUAUUAGCAAGGAGAUCAAAGAGAAACAACCAUUUCCUCCACACUUGAAGAUAGGUGGAGGAUGAACGGGCAUCAAGGACACAAUAUGUGGUUCCUGGAUUUCAAGAAAGUGAUAUGGAAAGAUUUUCCGUCAAUAUGUCUUCGCCGGUCGGCAAUACAAUGGAUCGUCGGACGAGCGUUCGCAAUAUACAAACCCAUCAUAAUUUAAAAUAUGAUUUGAUUGAAAAUAUAUGGGUAAAAUUUGGACAUCGUCUAGAUAACAUGUAAUUUAUAAGUUUUUAUGAAUUUAAUAAAAUGUUUGUUUCCAUUUAAUUUUUUUUUUUGUUGUAAUUCUAUUUUGCUUUCAAUUUAAUGUUAAACUUCUCUUUUAUGUUUUAUUUAAAAUGUAUCUUUUAUAUCUAAUCACACAUUAAAAUAAAUGUGUGAAAAUAUGCUAAAGACUUUUUUUGUCCUACCAAUAAUCAACAAAAUUAAAAAAAUCCUUAUGCAUUUGUCCCUAACUAAAAAAUAAUACUAAUUUAUUCUAAGACAAAAUUUUGUCCAACCAAUAAUGUUGCAUGAUGUCCAAGUAGUAAUUCGCAAUUGCGAAGUAGAAAAACAACUCAUGAAAGCGAGAAUUUAAUCACAAAAUUUAGUUUUCGUGAAUGAAAAACAUAAACUUGUUGAGAUAAAAAAAACUUUAGCUUUUUGUAUAUGAAUACAAAAGUUUCAAAGUAACGAUUUUGAGCAUGGCGGCUUGUUACAAGAUAUAUAAUAUAUAUAUAUAUUUUUAUAUAGAGAAUAAAUCAACCUAAUUUCUUAAAUUAAUAUGGAACGAUAAAUUAAAUAAAUGUUAUCUCUCUAUUCUUCUUCACCUUUCUAGAUUACUCUAAAUUCGUCUCAAUUUUCUAGAUCUUUUUUAUCUUUGUAUUUCCAUAAUUUUGAUACGGUAGAUCUUCUUGAUCUCCCAAUAAUU
This is a long non-coding RNA of Brassica napus (rape), 1285 nucleotides long. RefSeq lists it as uncharacterized. The transcript is spliced from 3 exons. The record is from RefSeq and is a predicted model, not a curated record. Lineage: Eukaryota; Viridiplantae; Streptophyta; Magnoliopsida; Brassicales; Brassicaceae.